AUGGAGGGUUUGAUCCUGGCUCAGGACUAACGCCAGCGGCGUGACUUAGCCAUGCAAGUCGUGCGCGAAAGCUCCCUUCGGGGAGUGAGUAGAGCGGCGAACGGCGGAGUAACGCGUGGCUAACCUAUCCUUAGGUGGGGGAUAACUGGGGGAAACCCCAGCUAAUACCGCAUAUUGUCUCGAAGGGACAUCCCUUUGAGAUGAAAGCGGGCCUCUCUCUGUAUGCUCGCGCCUAAGGAGGGGGCCGCGUCCUAUCAGGUAGUUGGUAGGGUAAUGGCCUACCAAGCCUAUGACGGGUAGCCGGCCUGAGAGGGUGACCGGCCCGAGGGGCACUGAGACACGGGCCCCACUCCUACGGGAGGCAGCAGGCUUGAAAUUUGGGCAAUGGGGGAAACCCUGACCCAGCGACGCCGCGUGCGGGAUGAAGCCCUUAGGGGUGUAAACCGCUGUCAGGGGGGAAGAAGGGUCGGCUGGCCAAUACCCAGUCGACUUGACGGUACCCUCAGAGGAAGCCCAGGCUAACCUCGUGCCAGCAGCCGCGGUAAUACGAGGUGGGCAAGCGUUGUCCGGAAUCACUGGGCUUGAAGGGGAUGCAGGCGGGUAGAUAAGUCGGACGUGUAAUCCAACGGCUCAACCGUUGGUCUGCGUCCGAUACUGUCUGCCUUGAGGACGGGAGAGGAGAGCGGAACUCCCGGUGUAGCGGUGAAAUGCGUAAAUAUCGGGGGGAACACCAGUGGCGAAGGCGGCUCUCUGGCCCGUUCCUGACGCUCAUAUCCGAAAGCCAGGGUAGCGAAGGGGAUUAGAUACCCCCGUAGUCCUGGCCGUAAACGAUCCCCACUAGGUGUCAGGAGCUUAGGCUCUUGGUGCCGCAGGGAAACCGUUAAGUGGGGCGCCUGGGGAGUACGCCCGCAAGGGUGAAACUCAAAGGAAUUGACGGGGGCCCGCACAAGCGGUGGAGCGCGUGGUUCAAUUCGAUGCUAAGCGAAGAACCUCACCUGGGUUUGACAUGCUGGUGGUACCCCGACUGAGAGGUUGGGGGACCCGGCUUGCCGGGAGCCAGCACAGGUGGUGCACGGCUGUCGUCAGCUCGUGCCGUGAGGUGUUGGGUUAAGUCCCGCAACGAGCGCAACCCCUACCCUUAGUUGCUACCAGCGACCAUGUGUCGGCUGGGCACUCUAAGGGGACUGCCGGCGAUGAGUCGGAGGAAGGUGGGGAUGACGUCAAGUCAGUGUGUCCUUUAUGCCCAGGGCUACACACGCGCUACAAUGGGGACUACAGAGGGUAGCAACCCCGCGAGGGGAAGCCAAUCCCUUAAAGGUCCUCCCAGUUCGGAUUGCAGGCUGCAACUCGCCUGCAUGAAGGCGGAAUCGCUAGUAAUCGCCUAUCAGCAUGGGGCGGUGAAUACGUUCCCGGGCCUUGUACACACCGCCCGUCACGCCAUGGAAGCCGGGGGCACCUGAAGCCGCUCGCCCAACCCCGCAAGGGGAGGGAGGCGUCUAGGGUGAACUCGGUGACUGGGGCGAAGUCGUAACAAGGUAGCCGUACGGGAACGUGCGGCUGGAUCACCUCCUU
Molecule: ribosomal RNA, 1572 nt
Filed under: marine eukaryotic metagenome
Description: Bacterial small subunit ribosomal RNA
Rfam family: Bacterial small subunit ribosomal RNA
Source: RNAcentral